Molecule: ribosomal RNA, 472 nt
Filed under: uncultured bacterium
Lineage: Bacteria
Description: bacterial SSU rRNA
Rfam family: Bacterial small subunit ribosomal RNA
Source: RNAcentral
UGGGGAAUAUUGGACAAUGGGCGAAAGCCUGAUCCAGCCAUGCCGCGUGUGUGAAGAAGGUCUUCGGAUUGUAAAGCACUUUAAGUUGGGAGGAAGGGUUGUAGAUUAAUACUCUGCAAUUUUGACGUUACCGACAGAAUAAGCACCGGCUAACUCUGUGCCAGCAGCCGCGGUAAUACAGAGGGUGCAAGCGUUAAUCGGAAUUACUGGGCGUAAAGCGCGCGUAGGUGGUUAGUUAAGUUGGAUGUGAAAUCCCCGGGCUCAACCUGGGAAGGUCAUAUAAGACUGUCAGACUCGAGUAUGGGAGAGGGUAGAGGAAUUUCCGGUGUAGCGGUGAAAUGCGUAGAUAUCGGAAGGAACAUCGGUGGCGAAGGCGUCUACCUGGCCUAAUACUGACGCUGAGGUGCGAAAGCGUGGGGAGCAAACAGGAUUAGAUACCCCGGUAGUCCCUGAGCGGGCUGGCAAGGCGCAU